AGUGAACGCUGGCGGUAUGCCUAAUACAUGCAAGUCGAACGGCAGCACAGUAAGAGCUUGCUCUUACGGGUGGCGAGUGGCGGAUGGGUGAGGCAUACAUCGGCGUCUACUUUUUCGUGGGUGAUAACGUAGGACAACUUACGCUAACACCGCAUACUAUCUACGGGUGAAAGCAGGGGAUCUUCGCACUUUUCCUGUCUCAAAGAGCCGAAGUCGGAUUAGCUAGUUGACUAGGUAAAGGCCCACCAAGGCGACGAUGCGUAGCUGGUCUGAGAGGAUGAUCAGCCACACUGGAACUGAGACACGGUCCAGACUCCUACGGGAGGCAGCAGUGGGGAAUAUUGCGCAAUGGGCGCAAGCCUGAUGCAGCCAUACCGCGUGAGUGAAGAAGGCCUUCGGGUUGUAAAGCCCUUUUAUUGGGGAAGAAAAGCUGCGGAUUUAUACCCCGAUGUUCUGACGGUACCCAAAGAAUAAGCACCGGCUAACUUCGUG
RNAcentral lists this ribosomal RNA (492 nucleotides) under uncultured bacterium. RNAcentral describes it as "partial 16S ribosomal RNA". It matches the Rfam family "Bacterial small subunit ribosomal RNA", at positions 29 to 507 of the family's 1533-position model. The record is from RNAcentral.